This 1418-nucleotide long non-coding RNA is filed under the name Astyanax mexicanus (Mexican tetra). RNAcentral's name for it is "lncRNA (ENSAMXG00005006928.1)". The record is from RNAcentral. Lineage: Eukaryota; Metazoa; Chordata; Actinopteri; Characiformes; Acestrorhamphidae.
GUAGUGCGAGGGGUUGCGCGAUCUGUUCUACCGUUUGUUCAAUUCAGCCACGCCCCCAACUGGAGCUUUCUUUAACUGACACCGCCCCCUUUAUAGAGUUUAUUAGCAUAGACCCGCCCCCCGUGUCGAGUUUUCUCGCUCAGUAGAGCGCGGGGCUGCGCUGUGGGUCGCGCGCUCUGUGCUGAGGCGGCAGAUUGAGGCGUUAGCUUAGCAGCUAAAAGAAGCAGCUCCACAGAAAAUCUCUGCAGGACUCAAAAACACACCAGAAGCAGCAGCAGAAGAUGAUAAUCUCCAUAAACCUCAACUCACCUGCACUGCAGCUCAUCUGGAUAGUUUAAUCCACUGCUUUUCUCCUAAAAAUGAGGAGAUAAUCUCCCUGUUUGAGCAUUUAGUCUUCUUAGCACGCUAACCUUCAGUUAAACUCACUAAACGAUCAAACCGCUGGAUAAAUCUGUGUAAAGUGGAUUUAACUGGACUGGAAGUUGAUAUAAGAUACUAAAACCAGACUUUACUCUCUAAUUUACCUUGUUUAGUCAGGUUUUACUAGAUUCUGUGGUAUUAAAAUGUAGUUUUUGUGGUUUUUAUCCUUUAAUCAUGGGGAAUGUUAGCAUAACGACUGACAGUGAGCUAACAUAGAACAUUACAGAGGCAUGAAAUCUGCUCAUGUUCAGAGCAGAACAGAAGUGAAGGACAGUAUGACAGAGGACUUCGGCAUCUUCUGAUAUCAGCUGUGUUUAAAGAGUGAUGCUGCCAUGUCUCCUCAAAGAGCAGCAAAUAUAACAGCAGCUGUGAUCUUCAUUUUGUUGGCAGCAGGCCACCAGAUACCAGCUUCAUCUGGACAAACAGUCCUGCAGGGGAUGGUGCAUCAGCAGGUUGUAGGGCAGAAAGUGGUGAAACUGACCUGUAGCUCCUCCUGCAGUGGAAACUGUUACUACGACUGGUACAGUCGUUACUGGCUGAGCACUUACUUGGGCUGUUCAUCUAUUGCUGAAGUUUGGAUCGACUCCACCAGUUCAUCUAAUGAGGACAGAUACUCCUGUUGGGUCAAGAACGACAAGUCUCCUUUAGACUGUAAGUACAAAGUUAGUCUGUCUCUCACUAAAGAUAAUCAUUUAGGAUGUUUAGAACCAGGAAAUCAGGUUUUAUGGGAUGGCUGGGUUAGGCUUGGGCAGAAUGUUCACCGGAUUAGGUCGGGCUGGAUGCACAAUUGGCCUUGCUCCCUUCAGGUGGGUAGAUGGCGCUCUCUCCCCAUCACCCUAAAGGUGGCGCCGGAUGGCACGAGGCGUCUGUGAGCGGAAGUAUCGGAACCUAGCCCCUGUGCUUUCCUCCGAUCGUGCUAGCCGCUCAGGCAAUGAUUCAUCAGCAGUAGCUCGAAAAAAAACUAAUUUUGACAGUAUUUAACUAAAUUUUUAUUAAUA